This 507-nucleotide ribosomal RNA is filed under the name uncultured bacterium. Its description in RNAcentral is "partial 16S ribosomal RNA". It matches the Rfam family "Bacterial small subunit ribosomal RNA", at positions 28 to 507 of the family's 1533-position model. The record is from RNAcentral.
GACGAACGCUGGCGGCGUGCUUAACACAUGCAAGUCGAACGGGCCUUGUCCCCUUUUUUUUGGGGGUGGGGUUAGUGGCGAACGGGUGAGUAACACGUGAGUAACCUGCCCCUCACUUCUGGAUAACCGCUUGAAAGGGUGGCUAAUACGGGGUGUUCUGGCCUGCUCGCAUGGGUGGGUUUGGAAAGAUUCGACCGGUUUUGGUUGUUUUGGUGGGGGAUGGGCUCGCGGCCUAUCAGCUUGUUGGUGGGGUGAUGGCCUGCCAAGGCUUUGACGGGUAGCCGGCCUGAGAGGGUGGGCGGUCACACUGGGACUGAGACACGGCCCAGACUCCUACGGGAGGCAGCAGUGGGGAAUAUUGCACAAUGGGCGCAAGCCUGGUGCAGCGACGCCGCGUGAGGGAUGGAGGCCUUCGGGUUGUGAACCUCUUUCGCCAGUGAAGAAGGUCCUGCUCUUUGUGGUGGGGUUGACGGUAGCUGGGUUAAUGAAGCGCCGGCUAACUACGUG